Long non-coding RNA from Gymnodraco acuticeps, 194 nucleotides. RefSeq lists it as uncharacterized. The transcript is spliced from 3 exons. The record is from RefSeq and is a predicted model, not a curated record. NCBI's taxonomy places the organism in Eukaryota, Metazoa, Chordata, Actinopteri, Perciformes, Bathydraconidae.
AGAUCAACUUUAAUGAUUAUCAAGCCGUGAUCGCCUUUGUAAAUAUUGAAAGAACACACUGGAAGUUGCUGAUCAGUAUUUUUGGUGGAUCCAGCGGCAAAUUCCAAAGAGAAAGCAGACUCGGAAAAUGCUGCGAAAAGAGUACGGGAAUACUUCAAGAUGAGGAGGACCUGCUAUGGCAAGGAGGACUGGGG